UACGUAGGGACCAAGCGUUGUUCGGAUUUACUGGGCGUAAAGGGCGCGUAGGCGGCGCGGUAAGUCACUUGUGAAAUCUCUGAGCUUAACUCAGAACGGCCAAGUGAUACUGCAGUGCUAGAGUGUGGAAGGGGCAAUCGGAAUUCUUGGUGUAGCGGUGAAAUGCGUAGAUAUCUGGAGGAACACCGGUGGCGAAGGCGGCAUCCUGGACCAACACUGACGCUGAGUGAGCGAAAGCCAGGGGAGCAAACGGG
RNAcentral lists this ribosomal RNA (254 nucleotides) under uncultured bacterium. RNAcentral describes it as "partial 16S ribosomal RNA". It matches the Rfam family "Bacterial small subunit ribosomal RNA", at positions 524 to 776 of the family's 1533-position model. The record is from RNAcentral.